RNAcentral lists this ribosomal RNA (700 nucleotides) under uncultured Microbacteriaceae bacterium. RNAcentral describes it as "bacterial SSU rRNA". It matches the Rfam family "Bacterial small subunit ribosomal RNA", at positions 94 to 808 of the family's 1533-position model. The record is from RNAcentral. Lineage: Bacteria; Bacillati; Actinomycetota; Actinomycetes; Micrococcales; Microbacteriaceae.
AGUGGCGAACGGGUGAGUAACACGUGAGCAAUCUGCCCUUGACUCUGGGAUAACUGCGGGAAACUGUAGCUAAUACCGGAUACUUUCCUCGCUGGGCAUCCAGCGGGGAAGAAAGAAUUUCGGUCAAGGAUGAGCUCGCGGCCUAUCAGCUAGUUGGUGAGGUAAUGGCUCACCAAGGCGACGACGGGUAGCCGGCCUGAGAGGGUGACCGGCCACACUGGAACUGAGACACGGUCCAGACUCCUACGGGAGGCAGCAGUGGGGAAUAUUGCACAAUGGGCGAAAGCCUGAUGCAGCAACGCCGCGUGAGGGAUGAAGGCCUUCGGGUUGUAAACCUCUUUUAGCAGGGAAGAAGCGAAAGUGACGGUACCUGCAGAAAAAGCACCGGCUAACUACGUGCCAGCAGCCGCGGUAAUACGUAGGGUGCAAGCGUUGUCCGGAAUUAUUGGGCGUAAAGAGCUCGUAGGCGGUUUGUCACGUCUGCUGUGAAAAUCCGAGGCUCAACCUCGGACUUGCAGUGGGUACGGGCAGGCUAGAGUGCGGUAGGGGAGAAGGGAAUUCCUGGUGUAGCGGUGGAAUGCGCAGAUAUCAGGAGGAACACCAAUGGCGAAGGCACUUCUCUGGGCCGUAACUGACGCUGAGGAGCGAAAGCGUGGGGAGCGAACAGGAUUAGAUACCCUGGUAGUCCACGCNGUAAACG